RNAcentral lists this unclassified non-coding RNA (3494 nucleotides) under Hevea brasiliensis (rubber tree). The record is from RNAcentral. Lineage: Eukaryota; Viridiplantae; Streptophyta; Magnoliopsida; Malpighiales; Euphorbiaceae.
CCAAACCACGUACUAAAACUUCACACUACAAGGUCAUGGGACUUCAUGGGUUUCUUCUAGGGCAAACUUGGAGCUUCUCAGGAAGGAGAUGCCAUUAUAGGUCUUCUGGACUCAGGUUUAAAUUCGAUAAUCAUUUGAAUCACAAUGAGAAACAAUUCAAGAAGAUAUGCUAAUAUGAAGUUUUUCAAUGUCUUCAUAUUACAGGAAUCUGGCCAGAAUCUGAGAGUUUCAAUGAUAAAGGAAUGAGUGCUCCCCCUGCUAAAUGGAAUGGAACAUGCCAAGGUGCCAACUUCACCUGCAACAAGUGAGCUCCUUUCCUGCCCUUUACUACACAGUUAACACCAUGAACUACCAUGCCAUGGAUCCCCUCAUAAUUUUGGGAACAAGAAAAAAAUAUUUUAAUUGAAAUUUUGAACUGCAGCAAGAUCAUUGGAGCCCGGUAAUACAACAGCGAGAACUGGUACGACACCACUGACAUCAAGUCGCCUAGAGACACUGAUGGACAUGGAACCCAUACUUCUUCAACUGCAGCUGAUCGGGAGGUGCAAGGAGCAAGCUAAUUCGGGCAAGCUGAAGGAAUAGCAAGAUGUGGAGUUCCCAAAGUGAGGAUUGCUGUGUACAAAGUUUGCUGGUCCUUCGGAUAUCCAAGUGCAGAUAUCCUCGCUGCAUUUGAUGAUGCCAUUGCAGAUGGUGUUGACAUAAUAUCUGUAUCCCUAGGAUCUGAAUGGCCAUCCCCAUAUUUUGACGACACAAUCGCCAUUCGAUCCUAUCAUGCCAUGAGAUAUGGUAUACUAACCUCAAAUUCUGGACCCAAUCCAUAUUCAGUCUGCAAUUUCGCAUCAUGGACACUGACUGUAGCUGCCAGCACCAUUGACAGGAAAUUUCUUACACAAGUUGUUCAGGGCAACGGACAAGUCUUCACAGUGAGUUUAUGAUUGCUUCUACAUCAUUAACAACAGUACUUUGAUAAAUCUUUUGCUUAUGACAUGUAUAUUUGUUCUUUGAUUAUUUUGAAAUGGGACUCUCCAUUAAUAGCUUUGACCUCAAUGGAAGCACAUAUCCUUUGAUUUUGGGAGGAGAUGCAGCAAACUACUCUGCAGAUGCUAACACAGACACUACACGAUAUUGCGUGACUGGUGCCAUGAAUUCAUACAAAGUAUCAGGAAAGAUGGUCUUCUGUGAAGCUCUCUCUGAUGGAUCUGGCAUUCUAAUAGCCAAUGGUGCGGGCACAAUACUGGCUGAUUCAUUUAUAACUGAUUUUGCUUCCAAUUAUCCCCUACUAGCAACUCAAAUCAGCACAAAAUAUGGCCUUGAAAUUUUGAAUUAUAUUAAAUCAACAGAGUAAGAUCUCGACACAUUUCUUUUCCUCUUGUUACCGGCAUCAUAACUUAACAAUUCCUUGGACCUGUUGUUUAACAAAAAUAACAAAUUUUCAGGAAACCAUUCGCAACCAUUCUAGUUGGAGACUUGGAAGGUUAUCAUGGCUCCUUCUAUUGUAUCAUUCUCUUCAAGAGGACGGAACCCUAUCACCCCAGAUAUUCUAAAGGUAAUGAAGAAAUCUGAAAGUUUUGAUUUAUAGCAUUGCUGCUUGUGCCUUUGUCUGAGAACCCUUCGAAAUUUUGCUUGGGUGAUAUGCAGCCUGAUCUUACUGCCCCUGGCGCGGACACACUUGCUGCCUGGUGUCCUCUGGCACCACCUUCAAUCUACUUGGACGACUCCAGAAGAGUGAAGUUUAGCAUAAUCUCGGGCACAUCCAUGUCUUGCCCACACGCUACUGGUGCUGCAGCCUAUGUCAAGGCAGCCCAUCCCGACUGGUCUACUGCUGCCAUUAAAUCUGGACUCAUGACAACAGGUGAUGAAAUGUUUUCCCCUGUUUUUAGGUACAUUUUGUUGGACAAAAAAAGACUAACAAAGCUAAAAGAAAUUAAUUUAGCAUCCUCAUCAAAGUUGUUCUUUGUUUCCAUAAACAGCUUAUAUCAUAGAGUCCAGGAAGCACCCAGACCUCGAAUUUGCUUACGGAUCUGGUCAUAUCAAUCCACUAGAAGCAACAGAUCCUGGGCUUGUUUAUGAUGCAUCCGAAGAAGAUUACAUUAACUUCCUUUGCAAACAGGGCUACAACACAACCAUUCUUAGACUGAUCACCGGCGACAAUAGUAGUGUGUGCAAAAGCACCGAGCCAGAAAGAGCCAGGGAUCUCAACUAUCCCACAUUUGCGCUAGCUGUGGAAGAUGGCCAGCCAAUUAAGGGAGCGUUUACAAGGACAGUUACCAAUGUUGGUUCACCGAAUUCAACCUACACUGUUAGCAUGUACAUACCUAACUCUGUCAUGGUUAUCGUGGAGCCCUCUAUCCUAUCAUUCUCUGCCAUUGGAGAGAAGAAAACAUUCACCAUGACGGUCUACGGGCCAAAGAUUGCACAACUGCCAAUCAUGCCUGGUGCAAUCAUGUGGAAAGAUGGGAUUCACGUUGUGAGAAGUCCAGUAGUUGUGUACAAUAUUCUACCUGGUUCUGCCUACUCUUCAUUUUCCAUGCCCCAGAAAACACUUAAAUUCCAAGGUCCUUCCAUGCAUCACAAAAGUGGUGUCCUUGGACAAAUAAACCCCUGGUCAUGAUUUUUUUUUUAUAUAUAUAUUUUGUUAAACAGAAACGGUUAUUAUCAUAGAACUAACAAUAAUAAUAUAACUCUGCUUAUUCACUUGUGGACUUCCUAUUUUGCUAUGUAAUUUUGAAUAUAUUUGUUAGUAGAAUUUGUUGACUAAAGACUACCAUGAAUGGUUUUGAAGUGUUUGUCGUUGAGAAGGAAUUACAAUAACAAUUUCAGUGUGCAUUUGUGACCUCAAUUCCUGGUCAUUCAGUGGGACACCUUCCCCCACGAAAGCAGCAAACCCAAACCCCAUGACUUUCUAGCGCCAACGCCUACUUCAACAAGACAACUACACCAAAAUGUCAUUUUAAAUGCCUUUUAUUUGGCAAAUCUUGAGUUCUAUAUUUUUUCAUGAUAGAUUCAAUUCUCUUAGUGACCCUUUUCCCUUUGCAAAUUGUCAGUCAUGUUAUCAACACAUUUACGGCAAAAUCACACAAGACUUGCUAACUGGUAGACCCUAUAUUGCUUCCAGAAUAUGGUCUAUUAGGGGUAACAAGGGCUUCAUCAAGUGCUAAAUGGAAAACAAGCAAAUAUGUGACACUUGAAAAUAUCAUGUGGGCACAAAACAGGUCAAAAGAUAUCACUAUGCCAGCGACCUAAUAUUAUUAUAUACCAUAAUACCACACAAUUAUCUCCAUUUAAGAACAAAAUCCUAUCUGGCCAUCCCCAAAUGUUGAAGAUAAAGAAUCAGAAGACCUUUUGUACCAAAUCUACUAAAUUAGCAAAAAACAGUUUCUGAAUGUUCUGCAACCAUCAGAGAGAUAUCCUCUACGAACAUAUUGAUCACAAUAUCUACAUGGUAUGCCUCAUCAUCAAGGUUCUAUGACUCCAAAAUCAGGGGUUUUUUUUUU